Molecule: RNA transcript, 5773 nt
Organism: Cornus florida
Lineage: Eukaryota; Viridiplantae; Streptophyta; Magnoliopsida; Cornales; Cornaceae
Exons: 20
Source: RefSeq, a predicted model, not a curated record
UAAAAUUGAGUUGGAGCUUUUGUAUAAUUUGUCUCAAUGUGUUACACAAUCCGCGAUUUAUUUGCUUAAUACAACAUUUCUACUAUCUUCUUGUCCGGUCACCUCUGCAACUACCACCGUGAACAAAAAUGCACAAACCAAACCCUAAAUUUCCGUACAAUUUGAACAGACCACUUUCAACAGACACGGUGAUGGAUUCAAAGCAACUCAUCGACUCUCUCACCGCACACAUCUCUCUAUACCACUCAUCUUCUCAUUCUCUCUCUACAAAUACUAACCCUAACCCUAGGUCUUCCAUCCUCAAAUGGUUCUCAUCUCUCACCGUCCAUCAACGCCAAGCCCACCUCACCACCGUCGAUCCAAACUUCAUCCAAAUUCUCCUCCAAAUGCAAGGCAAGCACCGAUCAGAUGGUCACGGUUUCUUCAUCAUCCUCCCUGAUCUACCCUCUGGCGACCGCCCGUGCCUUCCUACUCUCUGUUUUCGGAGGUCUCACGGCCUCUUAGCUCGAGUUAGCGGGUCAAAUGAGUCCGAGAGGAUGAUUUUUGAGGCAAUUCGGUUUUUCAAUUCGAGAGAAGGGGAGAAUGUUGUGGAUUGUUCGUGUAACUCGAAUUGCCUCGAUUCCAUGACUGUGUGUGAAGAGUUUGUUGAAAACGUGGAUCGGUUUGUUGGAGUGAUGGAUGCGGUGUCAAAUGGGGGAUUUUUGAGGGGGGAGGAAAGUGGGUUGGGUUCAGAUUGGGUUGAAUUGGAGUGGUUGAAGGCGAAAGGGUAUUACAGUAUCGAGGCUUUCGUGGCGAACAGGUUGGAGGUGGCCUUGCGGUUGUCGUGGUUGAAUUCUAAUAAUGGAAAGAAGAGGGGGGUCAAAUUGAAAGAGAAGGCUGCCGCUGCGGGCAUGACAGCAAAUGCGUAUUGGAGGAAGAAGGGGUGUAUUGACUGGUGGAGAAAGUUGGAUGUCGAAAUGAGGAGAAAAGUCUUUACUACAGUCUUGGGAAAAGCGGCAAAAUCUCUGACGAUUGAGAUAUUGAAGGGGGCAGAUAAUAGCUUGGAUGAUAAAAUGUCGCUAGUUAGUGCAGGAGCAGAACAACCAUUGAAAUAUAACAAUACCAUGUUAUGUCAAAAGACCAUCUGUACACACACAGGAAAAGAUGUAUCCAUUGAUUUGACUUCCGCUCCUGCUUCAGUUUCUGGAAAGCCUUCUUCAUUUGUCAAUGCAGUCAACGGUUUAUUUGUUCUUCUUGAUAUUUUGGAUUUAUCAUUAGCUUGUCAGCAUAGUAAAUAUGAUCAAGACAAUCUAUUCUUUAGUUCAUUGGUUUCUGUCAGCACCAUUUCAGAUUGUAUAUUAAGGAAAUUGCGAGGGUUACUCAUGAUUAUUUCACUUGAUUGUACAAAGCUUGAACUACUGGACGAGGGAGAUCUGAAAGUCCCUCCAAAAAUGUCCAAAGAGAAGCCUUGUGCCAAUGGCCGUAGAAAAAAAGGGAAGACCCGUAAUAUGAAAAGGCCCAAUCCUGUUCCAAGAUCUUCUGGAGAUGAUGAUCUCCCACUUUAUAAACUUCCCAAGGAUUGUGGGUCUGGAUUGGUCCAUAAAGAUAGUGAAGAUGUAAUUGGGUUGAACGGGAUUGCUUGCACACUUCAGGGGAAGGGUCUUGAUAGAGGAACUCCUUUAUCAGCAGUUGACAUGGAACAUGACCAAGGGUCUAUUAAAGGAAGUAUCCAGAAUUCUAAGAGGAAGAGUAGGAAAAAAAGCAAUAAAAGUAGAUACUCUGGUUUAAAUGAUCCAGCUGAAGUUGGAAACUUCCAAAAAAAAGUCACAGAAAUUUCUACUCCCCGUGAAAUUACUUCGCAAGUUGAGGCCACAAACCCUGAUUGGUUAUCUGAUAAGUCAAUUGUUCAGUAUGCGCCAAAUGAUAUUUCAAUUGGUAGUGAGAAAGACAUGCUAGACACAAGUCCUAAUAAUUCCACCAGUGGGCCUAUUAGGGAGGACAACCUGGUCCAAAGCAGCCAAGAAGAAUAUUUUGAUGAUUCUACAGAAUGCAGUCAUACUGAUUUCAAACGGUGUCACUCCUUGGACAUAACAAUAGAUUAUCACAGCAUGUCCUCCAGAAUAGGAACUGUAAGUUCUAGAAUGGAUUAUAAUGGAACAACUCCUGCUUUGCCUUCAAAUGAGGUUGAUGGUUUUCUCGUCACUGAAGUGAUCGACUGUCGUGCUGGACUUUUAAGUGAAAUUGACAAAAAGUCCGUCUUUUCUGAUGUUCUAACAAAUUCAGUUGGUCCAAAAGAAAAGAUCUCCUCAACUGGGAAGCAAGAAAAUGCAAGAAAUUGUGAUACUGGGUCCAUAAGUUCUUCAGGAUGUCCUUCAUUUGAGUGGCCUACUGUAUCUUCUGUUCGUUUUCCAUCUGUUAAUUCACAUCUCCCAGCUGCCACUGAUAGAUUGCAUCUGGAUGUUGGUCACAAUUGGCAUAAUCAUUUCCACCGAUCCUUUAUACAAACAGUGCAUCAGUCAAGAAAUCCUUCAAUUGACAAUGGGGGUAACCGGAAUUUGUCUCGACCAUUACCAAUGAGUUUGGAUUGGCCCCCGAUGGUACGUAGUAUCAAUGGAUUGGCUUCAUCGGUGACAUGUAGUUAUGAUUCUGGUUUUAUCUUAAGGCAGCCUUCUUUUCAGCAGGGUUUCACUGCUCAAAGCGUGCAGCCCAGAGGAAUGACCAAUGAGGAUGAAAGAAUGUACUCUGGAGAUUUAACAGACUUGUCUGAUCUACAAACUUCACAGGAACUAGUAGAUGAACUUGACAACCACUGGAUAUCAGAGGAAGAGCUUGAGGUGCAUGCAGUUUCUGGGAUGGAUUAUAAUCAAUAUUUUGGUGGGGGAGUGAUGUACUGGAAUCCUUCUGAUCAUCAUGGGACCAGUUUUUCUCGUCCUCCUUCUCUUAGUUCAGAUGAUAGUUCUUGGGCUUGGCAUGAAGCUGACAUGAAUAGGGCUGUUGAUGAUAUGGUUGCAUUCUCUUCAUCUUACAGUACUAAUGGUCUGACUUCUCCAUCUGCCGCAUCUUUUGUUUCUCCUUUUGAUCCAUUAGGACCAGUGCACCAGGCCCUUGGUUAUGUUAUAGCAGGUGGUGAAGUAAAUGGAAAGGUGCUGCAUACCCCAUCUACAGUGACAGAUGUAGCAGCAGACGAGAAUACCUCCGGAUCUUUGUCCAAUUUGCCUGUUGAUGGUGAAGUGAAGGCAGGAGAUUCAUUUCCUUACCCUGUUCUGCCACCAAUUAUCAUUCCGAAUAUGUCACGGGAAAGAUCAAGGUCUGAUUUUAGGCGUAGUCAUGAUCAUAAAAGUCCAUGUGUUCCUCCUAACAGGCGGGAGCAACCUCGGAUCAAGCGGCCACCUUCACCUGUAGUGCUUUGUGUUCCACGUGCUCCUCGUCCUCCUCCACCCUCUCCGGUAGGUGACUCCAGAAAACACAGGGGAUUUCCAACUGUUCGGUCUGGUAGCUCCAGCCCAAGGCAAUGGGGUGUGAAAGGAUGGUUCCAUGAUGGAACUAACUUUGAGGAAGCUUGUGUGCGCAUGGAUGGUAGUGAAGUGGUUUGGCCCACCUGGAGAAAUAAAAGCCUUUCAGCACAUCCCAUGAUUCAGCCUUUAUCAGGCGCUUUGCUGCAGGAUCGGCUCAUCGCAAUCUCCCAGCUAACUCGUGAUCAGGAACAUCCUGAUGUUUCAUUGCUUCUGCAACCACCUGAUUUACUGAACUGUUCUGCACGUAAGGCAUCUCUCUCUCUGCUCCACAGCCUCCUUCAUGAAGAAAUUGACUCCUUCUGCAAGCAGGUUGCUGCAGAGAAUAUGAUUAGGAAGCCUUAUGUUAAUUGGGCUGUCAAGCGGGUUACAAGGUCUCUUCAAGUCUUAUGGCCCCGGUCUAGGACACACAUCUAUGGUUCAAAUGCAACUGGUUUGUCCCUUCCAACAAGCGAUGUGGACCUUGUUGUUUCGCUUCCUCCAGUGAGGAACUUGGAACCAAUUAAAGAAGCUGGGAUCUUGGAGGGUCGCAAUGGUAUUAAAGAAACUUGCCUCCAGCAUGCUGCUAGGUAUCUUGCGAAUCAGGAAUGGGUUAAAAAUGAUUCUCUCAAGACUGUCGAAAAUACAGCUAUACCUAUUAUCAUGCUUGUUGUGGAAGUUCCUAAUGACCUUAUUAUCUCUGCUACUUCCAAUGUACAUGCAAUUAAAGAGGAACCAACUCAGGUGACUGGUGAACUGGCCAAUCUUUUUCAGACUGAUUUGGUUGGUUUAGAAAACUCUACUCCUUCAAAACUUUCACAGAUGGAUAAUGAUAACGACAAGAAUGUGAAAUCAGUUCGUCUUGACGUCAGUUUUAAGUCGCCAUCCCACACAGGUUUCCAAACAACAGAACUGGUUAAGGAGCUCACUGAGCAAUUUCCUGCUGCUACGCCCCUUGCUCUGGUAUUAAAGCAGUUCUUGUCAGAUCGUAGCCUGGACCAAUCCUAUUCAGGUGGCUUAAGUUCAUAUUGUCUGAUAUUACUGAUUACACGUUUUCUUCAGCAUGAGCAUCACCUUGGCCGGCCUAUUAACCAAAAUCUUGGAAGCUUGCUGAUGGAUUUUCUCUACUUCUUUGGGAAUGUGUUUGAUCCUCGCCAAAUGCGUAUUUCAGUGCAGGGAAGUGGGAUUUACAUAAAUAGGGAACGAGGAUAUAGCAUCGACCCAAUAUACAUUGAUGAUCCUCUUUUCCCAACAAAUAAUGUGGGGCGAAAUUGCUUCCGGAUACAUCAAUGCAUCAAGAUGCUUAUUCUAUCCUGGAAAGCGAGCUUCCAUGCAUUCUUAGUGAUGGUGACUCAAGUACUAAGCCCCCAUAUAAACUACUUCCAAAAAUUAUUCCAAGUAUCAGUCUUCCCUAGGGGUUCUAAUUAUCCAAAGGAGUUAUAUAAAUUUGGAAGGAUUGGAGAAGCGGUGGAAUGCUAUUACGGAUAUUGAGAAUGAUCCUGUAGUCUGCCUGCCUGUCAACUGGCCCUAUUGGGGGGUUAAUGUCCAUUUUCGACUCGUGUCCUUGGAGACGUUGAAAUAGGGGACUUGGCCUGCAAAAGGAUCUGCGUAUAAAAUGAGAAUCCACAUAUCCACGUUCUAUAUGGCAUGUCAGUCAUUGGGGUCUGCCAUACUGGAAGCCACAAUGCCCGAGUCUUUCAUGGAGAGGGUAUGUUGGACUGCGACAUCAGUUUAGGCUUUCAACCUGCAUCUAAGAUUGCGUUCCGAUUUCUAUGUGCUGCUUUGAAAUGAUUUAUCACAUAUUGUUGGUAAGUGCGGAACAGAAUGCUCUGGGUUUGGCCAAGUGAAGGGGGAUGUCGGUGCAUCAUACACUUGUCCAUAUAUUUUCCCCAUUGUAAUGAAGGUGUUGUCUUCAAAGAGGGAUGGCCUACAUAUCUGAGGCUCUCUUAGGAUUCAUAUUUAUCAUGACUUGUGGAAAGAUGAUAACAGUUGAACAUCUUUUCCUCCCUGUUCGUCAGCAAUCCGCAAUGGCAGGACCAACGCUGAGCAUCAUGACCAAGAAUUGAAUCUGCUUUUAUUGCUGCUGAAAUGACCUCUUACACCAUGCAUCUUCUCCUAUGCCGAUCCAAAAUUGGGGUCAGAAGAAUUUAUGGGCUCUAAUAUUAAGCGCGAAUGUGAGAAGCACCGUCAAUGUCGAUAUCAAGCCUGUUUUUUUUUUUUUUUUUUUUUUUUUUUUUUUUCACGUUUAUAUGACAUGAAUGUACUAAAAAUAAAUAAAAUGAAAAAAAAAAAAAAAAAAAAAA